GAUGAACGCUGGCGGCGUGCCUAAUACAUGCAAGUCGAGCGAACAGACGAGGAGCUUGCUCCUUCGACGUUAGCGGCGGACGGGUGAGUAACACGUAGGUAACCUACCUAUAAGACUGGGAUAACUUCGGGAAACCGGAGCUAAUACCGGAUAAUAUUUCGAACCGCAUGGUUCGAUAGUGAAAGAUGGCUUUGCUAUCACUUAUAGAUGGACCUGCGCCGUAUUAGCUAGUUGGUAAGGUAACGGCUUACCAGGGCAACGAUACGUAGCCGACCUGAGAGGGUGAUCGGCCACACUGGAACUGAGACACGGUCCAGACUCCUACGGGAGGCAGCAGUAGGGAAUCUUCCGCAAUGGGCGAAAGCCUGACGGAGCAACGCCGCGUGAGUGAUGAAGGUCUUCGGAUCGUAAAACUCUGUUAGUAGGGAAGAACAAACGUGUAAGUAACUGUGCACGUCUUGACGGUACCUAAUCAGAAAGCCACGGCUAACUACGUG
RNAcentral lists this ribosomal RNA (497 nucleotides) under uncultured bacterium. Its description in RNAcentral is "partial 16S ribosomal RNA". It matches the Rfam family "Bacterial small subunit ribosomal RNA", at positions 28 to 507 of the family's 1533-position model. The record is from RNAcentral.